RNAcentral lists this long non-coding RNA (1046 nucleotides) under Felis catus (domestic cat). RNAcentral's name for it is "lncRNA (ENSFCAG00000047189.1)". The record is from RNAcentral. Lineage: Eukaryota; Metazoa; Chordata; Mammalia; Carnivora; Felidae.
AUGAGACAGGAGUUCCCUACUCUGUGUCAUCGUGUUGAAAGGCAAUGGCCUGCCUUCCACUAUCAACACCAGAAGGGCAAGACCUUCUCUUGCUCUGCCCUGGAAGGCAGCAAAUGUGCAUGUUUCUUUGCAACAGUUACUCAGAUGGCCCACACCAGGACUUUGUCUCUUGGCCGAAUGUCACAAAAAAAUGAGGAACAUAAGAAUUCUUUCGAGACUGUCGUGGAGACCAUGUCCUAGAACUCAGAAAACAUAGCCUCACUGUGUCUGUUGAGCAUCUUGGCUCCCAGAAGCUCUUCGAAUAUCAAGCCUGGCUCCCAGACUCAACAUUCGAACUGUGGCCCUAUAUUUCCUUUUAAUAACUCUUCAUUUUUGCUUGAGCAAGGUAGAAUUGGUUUCUGCUUUUUACAGUUAAUUGCAUUGCGGAUGAUGCCAAUGCUGAGGGGAGAUUCAGACUCAGUCUUGCCAUCGAAGAUCUUCUCUCCUCAAACUAAAUCCUUAAAACUAUCAAAUUGGUAGUUAUACAAAAGGAACGACAGCAUUGGAUAACAAUAAUUUCUGUACUACUGGAUAAUUUCUCUCAACAAAAUAGAAAAUAAGAAGUUAAGGUCUGUGUUUUUUGAGAUUGGGAAGAAGUUGAAACUUGGCUCUCUUUAUAUCUGGAAACUUGAAAUGUACUAUAAUAUCUGUUCUUUAUAUAAAUCUCUAUUGUAAAUGUUAUAUAAAUGUAAACAUGCAUAGAUGCUUCUUGACAGGGCAAAGCAAGAGAAGGUCUUGCCCUUCUGGUGUUGGUAGUAGAAGGCAGACCACUGACUUACUACAAUAUUAAAUGAUACUAUACUAAUAUAAACCUAUCUUUAUAAAUUAUGCAAAGAAAAGCUAACUUACUACUAAGCUGAUAUUUUUCAUCUACAAGGUCAUUUCAACUACCUUCGAAUUCACGUGGCAUACACAGAUGAAAUACAGGGUGUUCUAUUAGAAGUAGUCAUCAAAAUACUAAAAAUCAUACCUCCCAAUAUAAUAAACAGAUCUAGCAUUAGGAAUCA